RNAcentral lists this long non-coding RNA (340 nucleotides) under Phoenix dactylifera (date palm). Its description in RNAcentral is "long non-coding RNA (PDAC_LNC002412)". The record is from RNAcentral. Lineage: Eukaryota; Viridiplantae; Streptophyta; Magnoliopsida; Arecales; Arecaceae.
CGGAAGUCCCGGAAGCCCUGAAUUAGCCCGUUCACGCCCUCCUCUGCUAGGAGGUCGUGAAACUCCUCCGACUCGCGGAAGAGCCUUACCGCGUUCUGGGCUCGCUCCCGAGCCUCGCGGUAUGCGGCCUUCCGCUCGAGGGUUUUUAUUUCCCGCUCGAGCUCCAAGUGUCGGAGGCGGGCAUUCCCCACCUCCUGCUCGCGGGAGGCCAACGCCAGCUCGGCUGCGGCCAAACGAGCCUCGACGGCGCGCACUUCGGACCUUGUUAGUGUGUGCGCGCCCUUCUCUUCAUCGAGCUCGGCGGUCAGAGCUCGAAUUCUUUCCUCGGAUGCUCCAAUUC